RNAcentral lists this long non-coding RNA (2875 nucleotides) under Pollicipes pollicipes. RNAcentral describes it as "uncharacterized LOC119109132, transcript variant X1". The record is from RNAcentral. Lineage: Eukaryota; Metazoa; Arthropoda; Thecostraca; Pollicipedomorpha; Pollicipedidae.
CUGGCCGAGUCAGACGGGGGUCUGCAGACGGCACCUCCACCGGGCCGCAGUUCUCGACAGGAGACGGGGACCUGCGUGGAGACGUCGUUCUGCCAGCCCGCGCCCGCGGCGGCACCGUCCGGAGCGGCGAGCGGUCCGCCUGAGGCCGCGACGCCGGCGCUCAACAACAACAAAUACUGCGGUCGCGCCGGCGACCGGCGACCCGCCGACCGCUCGCGCAGAAACGACGGGUUUGAAUCGGAGUGGCGCGACCGCAGUCGGGAACUGAGCAGUAUCUGAACCCGACGUAAGGACAGAAUCUGAGCAGCAUCUGAACCGUACGACGGGACCGAAUCUCGGCGGUACCUGGGCCGCACAGCAGUCUCUGAGGCCCGCCGCCAGCUCGGAGCUCAGAGGUCUCUGAGCCACCUCGCCAAAGUGGAAAAAAUUAAACGGUCUCUGAGACACUAAAUAUUCGCAAGCAUAGUGGCGUCACCCAGAGACGAGCUCAGCACUACGGCUUCACAUUUAUGAGCGUCGACGGAGACUGGGCGGCAGCGAAGCCGGGCGGGUGUCAUAUGGUGCUCAAUGACGCUGGAAAGUUCCAGAGGGUCACGCGACGUGGCACACGGCGUCGUUUGCAAACCCAGUGCCCAGUGUGCGGCUCUAUCAGAGACGGCCGCGCGCGGGCGCUCGGCUCGAGACACGCUCGUGAGUGGGUGCGCUCCGCACCGCCUGCUGAGUUUAACCUCAGUGGGGGCGCGUGUCGCAAGCAAAGUCCCGCCCUCUGCAUGGGCCACGCCGCCACCGGUGUGGGUCGGCGCUACCGGGGCGCCGUAGGAGAGCAGAUAAGCGGGUUAUUAAGCCGUAAUGGGAAUGCACUCAUGGAGGCCGGAACGGUAUUAGUCUUGCCCCGGCGGCACGCUAUCUUGAUUGUGCGUUGGCUCUGAAGUGCUGAUGGUCGUGAUCUUUGGAGGAGUUUGCUUCAACAGAUAACGUCCAUGACGUUUCACUCUCACUCCCGUGUAUCUGAGUUUCAGCGUCUUGUCAGCCCACGAGGCGUCGAUGCCAGGCUCGGCCUCCCGCAGAUGAAACUGGCCCGCGCCGAUAAAUCCAGCCUAUCCAGUUUGCGCUAUCAGUUUAACUACAUCUUGGUUAAAGUUUCCACUUCACACGGCGUCAAGUCUAUGUAGCUCUUCAUAAACCGAUUUGCUCAGAAUUCGUUCUAGUGCAAUCCAUCGAUCACGAAUCCAGUCUGCUCUAAAAUGCGCUUUUUGCACAAACUCCCUAAGCCGAGCCUUCACAAUCCCUCUCAGCGAAAAUAUUUCCCGGAAUGAUCCGUCCAUUUCACCAUACCCUAUCCAGUUGAAGACAGGUGUUGAAUGUAGCGCAUGGACACGUUCACUAUUUCAUAACUCAACAUUUAGAACUUUCUCUCUUUUUCAAUGUUUUAGUAUUGGCUAGCGUUUAAGUUAACCCAAUCCUAUUCGAUUUAAUCUCGGAUUCAUUCAACCCAUAAAUAGCUCUGGAGGGCAUCAAUCUAUUACAUCGUCCUCACAGGCCUUAGAGGUAAAGGUGAAGAAGCUCGGCGCUCUCCAUUCUGCAUGACACCUUUGCCGUGCUGUGUGACACAUUUCUUGUGUUUUAGUUGUCCUUGAGGUGCUAUUUGUUAGUUAACUUACUGACGGCAAUGUAAUGAAUAUCACUAAUGUUUGACAUAAUUCCGAAGGAUAUCUGAAGCCGGCGUCACAUUAGGUCAGGCAAUGACGUUGGUCGCCAAAUUGGCAAACGAAGUCCUUACACCAUGCACAAAGGUGCGUGUUAUGUGCCGCUGUUAAAAUCACGCCAUUCUGGAGGGGGGGGGGGAUCACCUCAACGUAAGUCUUUAAUUGACCCCGGAGUAACCCAGCUUGACCUUUUGUACUUGCCUAGAUCAUGGCACUGUGUGCACUGUUGUAAAAUCUCAAAUGUAUUCCGCUGUACGUGACUUAAGCGGACAAAAGUCGAUCUUUUAAACAUAUUCUGCGGUACUAAAUAACGUCAUCCUCUGGCUCUGGCAACAUGCCCUGCAAAGUUGGAUACAAGAGACCUCUAAAUCUAGCGAAAUUUGGUGUGGGGCCCGAUGCGUGGUCCACGUUGGCAAACGGGUUGCCUACAAUGUGCCGCAUUCACUCGUAAAAAUGGUAAAGCAAUGUAAUCUGGUGCGGAAAACUGAAAUAAAAACUGAAUCCCGAGCCAUAAAGCUGCCAUUGCAAUCAUUUUUAUCGACAGGAAUUUACUUUUUCAUUAUCACAGCCACCACCGAUCCCAAUUUUUCAGUGUUUACUCAUCUGACGAAGGGUAAGUCAUUUUGCCACAUGCUGUCUACGAAACUUGUCAGAUCGAACCCCUGUGUGCAUUACCCGAGCGUGCUUUAUAUUUCUAACGUCCUAUAAGACAGCUAUGCGUUUAUUGCAUGACAGACCUGGCUGAUUCCCCCGCUAGACCUGACUGCCACAUGCUCGUACGCGUGCUGCUUUAUCGGGGGAGUAUGGAAUCCAGUUUGUUUGAAUCCAAAAUUGUUUUAUGUGCACAGUCAUGCAUGGAUCGUGCACGCUUAGUGAUGGGUGUGGGGCCCCGCUGUUUGUGGUGCUGGUGUCAGAUGACACUGGUCCAUUCCCGGUUCAACUGUUGUUUUGUGGUAUUUAUAUAUGUUUAUGAGGGUACCUGUUUGUAUAAGCGUCACAUUUGGUGCGUUCUUCCUCCAUUCAUGGGAUGCAUUGUCAAAAGUUCGCGUGUGAGCUCAAUGAUGAUGUAGGCUCGUGUUGGACGAUCUGAGCCGAGUGUUGAAAUGCUACAUUACCUGUCGGAUAAUGACCAGCGCGUACACUCGCUGAAUAAACGACCGUUUUCCGAA